RNAcentral lists this ribosomal RNA (497 nucleotides) under uncultured bacterium. RNAcentral describes it as "partial 16S ribosomal RNA". It matches the Rfam family "Bacterial small subunit ribosomal RNA", at positions 28 to 507 of the family's 1533-position model. The record is from RNAcentral.
GAUGAACGCUGGCGGCGUGCCUAAUACAUGCAAGUCGAGCGAACGGACGAGAAGCUUGCUUCUCUGAUGUUAGCGGCGGACGGGUGAGUAACACGUGUAUAACCUACCUAUAAGACUGGGAUAACUUCGGGAAACCGUAUCUAAUACCGGAUAAUAUUUUGAACCUCAUGGUUCAAUAGUUAAAUUCGGUCUUGCUGUCACUUAUAGAUGUAUCCGCGCUGCAUUAGCUAGUUGGUAAGGUAACGGCUUACCAAGGCAACGAUGCGUAGCCGACCUGAGAGGGUGAUCGGCCACACUGGAAGUGAGACACGGUCGAGACUCCUACGGGAGGCAGCAGUAGGGAAUCUUACGCAAUGGGCGAAAGCGUGACGGAGCAAAGCCGCGUGAGUGAUGAAGGUGUUCGGAUCGUAAAACUCUGUUAUUAGGGAAGAACAAAUGUGUAAGUAACUGUGAACAUAAUGACGGUACCUAAUCAGAAAGCCACGGCUAACUACGUG